UGUAUGUUAUUAUACCAAUGCAAUGCCGGAAGAACGGAAGAAUUUAUGGCGAUUCGAUGGUUCGGCUGUGUGACCCUGCAAACCUUAUAACUCGUGUAACCUGCCUUUUCGUCCACGAUCGUCUGGUAAUUUAAUCUUCGCUUUAAAUUACGAUGUUCCUGUUGCUACGAUGUUAGUUCUCGUUCUCGUAACGAGUGACUUCGUUCUAAUAAGUGUAAUCAGCCAAGGUUUCUUGACGUCGAAUGAAAUUAUCGGAACAAUGUUGAUUUCUCGAUCGAAAAAAAAAAAAAAGAAGAAGGAAAAAUAUCGAUCUGAUCGUAUCACGCCGGUUAAAGACGUUCCGUUGGAAACAUUGCAAAUUUUCAUCAGUAUCUGCAAAUACUGAUGUAAUUUAAUCGUUAACAUAAUCAGCUUCUGCAACGCUAUUUUAAACAUCACACGGCCUGUGAAAAUGGCGUGUCAGUUCGUAGUGCACUUGGGUGCAGGUAAUCAACAAGAGAUUUAAUGUGCAUCGGUGACAGAUUUGGAUAAGCUCCAACUUCUUAAUGAUGAUGGACAUUCUCUAACUGUGUCUGCCAACAAAGAUGUCACGUUCAAUUAAAACUAUACCGUGUCUUCAGGACCUUGUGAACCGUCUUCUCAUCGAUUAUGAUCAGUGGUGUCUUGAAAAUUCGCCUGACCUCGUUUAAUUUAUACUUGACCGUAUGUAUUAAAAAACGUGUCGAAGUAUGUAAUAAAAGCAUGGUAUAACUACUGUUUGAUUGUAUAGAAUCGAAAAGAAACAGCCGUCUGAAAUUUAAA
Long non-coding RNA from Bombus impatiens (common eastern bumble bee), 801 nucleotides. RefSeq lists it as uncharacterized. The transcript is spliced from 2 exons. NCBI's taxonomy places the organism in Eukaryota, Metazoa, Arthropoda, Insecta, Hymenoptera, Apidae. The record is from RefSeq and is a predicted model, not a curated record.